UGGAUGAGUGGCGAACGGGUGAGUAACACGUGAGUAACCUCGCCCCCUUCCUUUGGGAUAACGCCCGGAAACGGGUGCUAAUACUGGAUAUUCACUGAUCUUCGCAUGGGGGUUGGUGGAAAGGGUUUUUUCUGGUGGGGGAUGGGCUCGCGGCCUAUCAGCUUGUUGGUGGGGUGAUGGCCUACCAAGGCUUUGACGGGUAGCCGGCCUGAGAGGGUGACCGGUCACAUUGGGACUGAGAUACGGCCCAG
This 251-nucleotide ribosomal RNA is filed under the name uncultured bacterium. RNAcentral's name for it is "partial 16S ribosomal RNA". It matches the Rfam family "Bacterial small subunit ribosomal RNA", at positions 88 to 334 of the family's 1533-position model. The record is from RNAcentral.